CAAUAAUAUAAUAUAUAAUAAUAAUAAUCGUAUAAAAACCCUAUUAGAAAUAUCAAGUGUUCCUUCAGAGCCGGGAGUAAUUUUUUCCAUUAUGACCAACAACAAAUCAGUAGCUGCCAAAUCGAGCUGACCUACCAGAGUUGCCAUAUCAUCUGCUGCCGAAUUGGAGAUCACAAAGAAAGCACCUCAUAUAACUAAUCGGUAAAGCCGGUGGAGUAAUAGCAGAGCUGACGAAUAGAUCAUCAAACAAAGAUGAUAGCAACGGACCAUUUAAAGGGCUCCUUGGAUUUUCUCUGGAUAUGUGAGCUAGCCAAAAAGAAAUAGAUUGCUUAAGGCACUUGGAGCUGCAUCAAAGCACAACGCCUCGCCAAAAAAGGACGAGGGAUUGCAGCCGUUGGUUUCGGAUUUGACGCUUUUAAAUGUAAUCUAACUAAACCUUACUACAAUAAUAUUUACCAUGUGCUCAAUUAUCAUCAAUUGCCGUUGUUUUAUCCGAUUUGAAAUGCGACUUAUUUGAAAACAAAUUUGUAAAGUAUGUGAAGCACAGCUAAUUAAACAAAAAUUGGAUUGUCAAAUCCCAUCUCUAAAAAUAAUUUUGAAU
This 601-nucleotide small RNA is filed under the name Drosophila virilis. RNAcentral describes it as "GJ26886". Lineage: Eukaryota; Metazoa; Arthropoda; Insecta; Diptera; Drosophilidae. The record is from RNAcentral.